RNAcentral lists this ribosomal RNA (162 nucleotides) under Bacteroidetes bacterium enrichment culture clone YFZ5. RNAcentral's name for it is "partial 16S ribosomal RNA". It matches the Rfam family "Bacterial small subunit ribosomal RNA", at positions 339 to 498 of the family's 1533-position model. The record is from RNAcentral. Lineage: Bacteria; Pseudomonadati; Bacteroidota.
CUACGGGAGGCAGCAGUGAGGAAUAUUGGUCAAUGGGCGAGAGCCUGAACCAGCCAAGUCGCGUGAAGGAAGACGGCCCUACGGGUUGUAAACUUCUUUUGUAGGGGGAUAAAAAAGAGUACGUGUACUCUCUUGUAGGUACCCUACGAUAAGAUCAUCCCC